UACAGAGGCCCCGAGCGUUGUUCGGAUUUACUGGGCGUAAAGCGCAUGUAGGUGGUGACGUAAGUCAGAUGUGAAAGCCCUGGGCUUAACCCGGGAAUUGCAUUUGAUACUGCGUUGCUAGAGUGCGGAAGAGGAAAGUGGAAUUCCUGGUGUAGGAGUGAAAUCCGUAGAUAUCAGGAGGAAUACCGAUGGCGAAGGCAACUUUCUGGUCCGCAACUGACACUGAGAUGCGAAAGCGUGGGGAUCAAACAGG
This 253-nucleotide ribosomal RNA is filed under the name uncultured bacterium. RNAcentral describes it as "partial 16S ribosomal RNA". It matches the Rfam family "Bacterial small subunit ribosomal RNA", at positions 524 to 776 of the family's 1533-position model. The record is from RNAcentral.